UAGGGAAUCUUCGGCAAUGGGGGCAACCCUGACCGAGCAACGCCGCGCGAGUGAAGAAGGUUUUCGGAUCGUAAAGCUCUGUUGUAAGAGAAGAACGUGUGUGAGAGUGGAAAGUUCACACAGUGACGGUAACUUACCAGAAAGGGACGGCUAACUACGUGCCAC
Molecule: ribosomal RNA, 165 nt
Filed under: uncultured bacterium
Lineage: Bacteria
Description: partial 16S rRNA
Rfam family: Bacterial small subunit ribosomal RNA
Source: RNAcentral